UCCGUAGGUGACCUGCGGAGGGAUCAUUAA
This 30-nucleotide ribosomal RNA is filed under the name Xylaria nigripes. Its description in RNAcentral is "partial 18S ribosomal RNA". The record is from RNAcentral. Lineage: Eukaryota; Fungi; Ascomycota; Sordariomycetes; Xylariales; Xylariaceae.